This 387-nucleotide ribosomal RNA is filed under the name uncultured bacterium. Its description in RNAcentral is "bacterial SSU rRNA". It matches the Rfam family "Bacterial small subunit ribosomal RNA", at positions 28 to 417 of the family's 1533-position model. The record is from RNAcentral.
GACGAACGCUGGCGGCGUGCUUAACACAUGCAAGUCGAGCGGUAAGGCCCUUUCGGGGGUACACGAGCGGCGAACGGGUGAGUAACACGUGGGUGACCUGCCCUCAGCUCUGGGAUAAGCCUGGGAAACUGGGUCUAAUACUGGAUAUGACUCCACGGUGCAUGUCGUGGGGUGGAAAGCCUGUGCGGCUGAGGAUGGGCCCGCGGCCUAUCAGCUUGUUGGUGGGGNGAUGGCCUACCAAGGCGACGACGGGUAGCCGGCCUGAGAGGGCGACCGGCCACACUGGGACUGAGACACGGCCCAGACUCCUACGGGAGGCAGCAGUGGGGAAUCUUGCGCAAUGGGCGAAAGCCUGACGCAGCGACGCCGCGUGAGGGAUGACGGCCU